Molecule: long non-coding RNA, 827 nt
Organism: Nicotiana attenuata
Lineage: Eukaryota; Viridiplantae; Streptophyta; Magnoliopsida; Solanales; Solanaceae
Exons: 2
Source: RefSeq, a predicted model, not a curated record
GAGGAAGUGCUGGGAAAGGCACAAAAACAGAUUGGAUGAUGCACGAGUUUCGCCUCCCACCAACUUGGAAGACUACUAUCAAAAAAGGAAGAGGAAAGAAGCGCACAGGUAGCAGGAAGAAGGAAGCGCCUAAAGUUGUAAAAACUUGGGUAUAGAUUAAAUAAUUUUAAAAAUAUGGGUAUAGGUUAUGUCGCCCCCGUGCAAUCUUACGUUUAAGAUAGUAUAUUUUCUCCUUUUCAGAAAGCCCACCCAUAUUCCCUUAUUGUCCUUUGGACUUUUAGGUCCAUUACAUACCUUCCUUCCAGCUGGACCUCUGUCGGGCGGAAAAUAGCCCAUAACUGAAACUAAAACAACAAAAUUCAUUGUCUGUUUCAUUUCCUUCUAACAUAAACAUAAUUUCCAUAAAUACCAAGAAAAGAAGUUCCAAAAAAAAAAAAAAAAGAAAGGAAAUUCUCAAAGGUUGUGCAAAGACAAAGGAAAAGAGAUGAGGAUUUUUGGGAAGCACAUAUUUCCAAGACAAAUUGUACUCUUCUCUUCUGGGGUGUUGUUCUUGGCUUCAACAACAUAUGAUGUGCACAGAUCCAUAAAGAACAACGAAACACCACCUUCUGAAGAGCAAAUCCAAGCACUUGAAGAUUACAUAAACUCUGUUCGUCGUCCUUCUUAGACUAUCGGUCCAUAUUAUGCCACGUUUACUGUUAUGUACUUAUGGCCGGUCCAUAUUACGCCACGUAUCUUGUUAUUACCUAAUUAAUUUAUGAAAAGGGAUAUUGUAAUUUACAUACGUAUGCUCUUACGAUUUUACUUGUGGUAUCUGCGUUACUUAU